Molecule: unclassified non-coding RNA, 564 nt
Filed under: Hevea brasiliensis (rubber tree)
Lineage: Eukaryota; Viridiplantae; Streptophyta; Magnoliopsida; Malpighiales; Euphorbiaceae
Source: RNAcentral
AUCUCUCCCUUCAUAUAACUCAUCAAAUGUGCAAUUGACUACUGGAACAAUGAUGCAGUCCCACUGAUUAGCAGUCCAACGGAGACCUUAUAAAUUAAAUAAUGGCGGGAUAUCUCCAAAACUUCCCCCGGCCUGAAAAUACAAGCUUUGUUCCAGUAGAACUAACAAAACUCUGACAGCAUUGAAAUGGAAAUUCAACAAUAAUUUCCUUUCAAAAAUACGGGAAAAGAAUCUACUUCUACAUCUAAUAAUUAGAUUUAAAAAGACAGCAAAUAUUGAGUUUCUACUUAUUGCCUCAUCUUCCAAUAAAAAGUGUGCCAUAUAAUCCCACGCCAAAAACAUGAAAUCUGUCUAUUAAACUGAACAGGAUCUGAGACUUCAAUUCUUCUUUGCUCACAAGGUUUCUAAGGCGAUAUCUGUUGCAUGCUUAGUUAUGGACCAUCGUCAAAUUAAGUAUUUUCUUGCAUUGUUAAGAUUGCAAGGAGUGGCUCUAAUGCACGGGAUUGGACUGUCUAUGUGACAACUCAAGGUAUCCCACAUUCAGAAUUAAUAGGACUCCAUCGU